This 253-nucleotide ribosomal RNA is filed under the name uncultured bacterium. RNAcentral's name for it is "partial 16S ribosomal RNA". It matches the Rfam family "Bacterial small subunit ribosomal RNA", at positions 524 to 776 of the family's 1533-position model. The record is from RNAcentral.
UACGGAGGAUCCAAGCGUUAUCCGGAUUUAUUGGGUUUAAAGGGUGCGCAGGCGGAAUUAUAAGUCAGUGGUGAAAUCCUGCAGCUUAACUGCAGAACUGCCAUUGAUACUGUUAUUCUUGAGUAUAGUUGAAGUGGGCGGAAUGUGUCAUGUAGCGGUGAAAUGCUUAGAUAUGACACAGAACACCAAUUGCGAAGGCAGCUCACUAAGCUAUAACUGACGCUCAUGCACGAAAGCGUGGGGAUCAAACAGG